UGCCAGCCGCCGCGGUAAUACGGAGGGAGCGAACGUUGCUCGGAUUCACUGGGCAUAAAGGGCACGUAGGCGGACUGUUAAGUUAGAGGUGAAAUCCCGGGGCUCAACCCCGGAACUGCCUUUAAUACUGGCAGUCUAGAGUUCGAGAGAGGUGAGUGGAAUUCCGAGUGUAGAGGUGAAAUUCGUAGAUAUCGGGAGGAAUACCGGUGGCGAAGGCGACUAUCUGGCCAAAUACUGACGCUGAGGUGCGAAAGCGUGGGGAGCAAACAGGAUUAGAUA
RNAcentral lists this ribosomal RNA (279 nucleotides) under uncultured bacterium. RNAcentral describes it as "partial 16S ribosomal RNA". It matches the Rfam family "Bacterial small subunit ribosomal RNA", at positions 506 to 784 of the family's 1533-position model. The record is from RNAcentral.